This 253-nucleotide ribosomal RNA is filed under the name uncultured bacterium. RNAcentral describes it as "partial 16S ribosomal RNA". It matches the Rfam family "Bacterial small subunit ribosomal RNA", at positions 524 to 776 of the family's 1533-position model. The record is from RNAcentral.
UACAGAGGUGGCAAGCGUUGUUCGGAAUUACUGGGCGUAAAGGGCGCGUAGGCGGUCUUGCAAGUCCCGUGUGAAAUCCCUCGGCUCAACUGAGGAACUGCACGGGAAACUGCUUGGCUUGAGUUCGGGAGAGGGAAGCGGAAUUCCGGGUGUAGCGGUGAAAUGCGUAGAUAUCAGGAAGAACACCCGUGGCGAAAGCGGCUCUCUGGAACGGUACUGACGCUGAGACGCGAAAGCGUGGGGAGCGAACAGG